This 422-nucleotide ribosomal RNA is filed under the name uncultured bacterium. RNAcentral describes it as "partial 16S ribosomal RNA". It matches the Rfam family "Bacterial small subunit ribosomal RNA", at positions 360 to 774 of the family's 1533-position model. The record is from RNAcentral.
AAUAUUUGACAAUGGGGGCAAACCUGAUCCAGCCAUACCGCGUGUGUGAAGAAGGUCUUCGGAUGGUAAAGCACUGUAAGUUGGGGGGAAGGGCUUUAGGCUAGUACACUGGAGUUUUGACGUUAACAACAUAAGAAGCGCCUGAUAACUCUGUGCCAGCAGCCGCGGUAAUACAGAGGGUGCAAGCGUUAAUCGGAAUUACUGGGCGUAAAGGGUGCGUAGGUGGUUCAGUAAGAUAGGUGUGAAAUCCCCGGGCUUAACCUGGGCACUGCUUUCAUAACUGCUGUGCUAGAGUACGGUAGAGGGUAGUGGAAUUUCCUGUGUAGCGGUGAAAUGCGUAGAUAUAGGAAGGAACACCAGUGGCGAAGGCGACUACCUGGACUGAUACUGACACUGAGGUGCGAAAGCGUGGGGAGCAAACA